Molecule: long non-coding RNA, 477 nt
Organism: Cimex lectularius (bed bug)
Lineage: Eukaryota; Metazoa; Arthropoda; Insecta; Hemiptera; Cimicidae
Exons: 3
Source: RefSeq, a predicted model, not a curated record
CAAAGUCUCUAAAAUGCUCACUUCACCCUAGUUUUUGAAAACCGACUUUUUCCUACACCUACGUUUGCCCCCCCUUACAUCAAAAAUCAUCGAACCCGAAGUUUUUCCCGUAAUUUUAUUCAUUUCCAACUCUAUCCACCUUUCCACAAUUUCUCUUUUUCCAUCUACCCUGCAGGUCAUCGUAGGAUCACCAUCGUAGUCGCAAAUGAGGCCCGUGGAUCUCCUUCGUUACUUCAGCAUACAGUCCACAAAAACCAAAUUAGAGUUGGCCAAGUGAAAGUGGGAGAAUACAUAUUCCAAAUGGAGAGGGACUUACCAUCGACCUAAAGGGACGGCUAAGUGGAAUUGCUUACGUUGAGUACUGAGGACGACCAAAAGGAGCAAUAUGAGAAGAGUACAUCACAAUGAAGAACUACAAAUCGCAUAGAUUGUUGAAUUACAGAUUUUCAGCAAGGAAGGACGAUCAGAUCAUAAUCG